GACGAACGCUGGCGGCGUGCCUAAUACAUGCAAGUAGAACGCAGUUGCGAACGGGUGAGUAACGCGUAGGAAACCUGCCUCAUAGUGCGGGAUAACUAUUGGAAACGAUAGCUAAUACCUCAUAUUGUGCGUUGGACCUGCGUUGUAUCAGCCAGUUGGUGAGGUAAAGGCUCACCAAGUCGACGAUACAUAGCCGACCUGAGAGGGUGAUCGACCCAACUGGGGAUGAGACACGGCCCAGACUUCUACAUAAGCCAACACUGAAUAGUCUUCGGCAAUGGACGGAAAGCUGACCCAGCAACGGCGCGGGGAUGAAGAAGGUUGUCGGGUCAUAAAUCUCUGUUGUUUGGGAAACGGUAGCUAACCAGAAAGGGACGGCUAACUACGUGCCAGCAGCCGCGGUAAUUC
RNAcentral lists this ribosomal RNA (408 nucleotides) under uncultured bacterium. Its description in RNAcentral is "partial 16S ribosomal RNA". It matches the Rfam family "Bacterial small subunit ribosomal RNA", at positions 28 to 526 of the family's 1533-position model. The record is from RNAcentral.